AGCAGGGGCUACUCUUCGUUACAGUGCAUGGGCUUCUCAUUGUGGUGGCUUCUCUUGUUGAGGAGCACAGCUUCUAGGCGCCCGGGCUUCAGUAGUUGUGGCACAUGGGCUUAGUUGCUCUGCGGCAUGUGGAAUCUUCCUGGAUCAGGUCUCAAACCCGUGUCCCCUGCACUGACAGGCGGAUUCUUAACCACUGCGCCACCAGGGAAGUCCCGAAGAGGUCACUCUUGAUGGGAGGCUCGGAGAGGUAGCACAGAAAGGUCAGGUCUGGAUGAACAGGAUGGCUGAGUGAAGGGGAGCUGGUGUGACCAGAAGCCAGGACUGCUAUGCGGAACAAUGAAGGUUUAAGACCCAGAGAAGGGUCCCAAAGUCCAGGCAGCUUUCCCACCGGGACUGUGUGCUUGUUUAUGGCCUUCUGCUUUCCAGGGCCUGUGCUCACUUGCAAAGUGGGUGCCAGGGAGCCAUCUUGCCAUGGGGGUGAGGAUACAGGAGAUGCUGCAGCAAAGUGGGAAACCAACUGCUCUCAGAACGGAGAAAAAUUCCUUCACAAGGCCUGAAUGAUCUGAAGCUGCACCCUCCACUUUGCCUGCACUGCCACCGAGGUCCAAACCACCAUCACCUCCCUCUUUGCCUGGAUGGCCACAAACAGCUUGUCCCAGUGGUGGCUGUGGAGCCAGCAGCCCCGUCUGGAACAGAAUUGGGCUCUGCUCCUUGCGGGUUGCAUGACCUUGGGCAAACCCUCGGCCUCCACUAUGCUUCUGUUUCCUGUGAAAU
Long non-coding RNA from Globicephala melas (long-finned pilot whale), 774 nucleotides. RefSeq lists it as uncharacterized. NCBI's taxonomy places the organism in Eukaryota, Metazoa, Chordata, Mammalia, Artiodactyla, Delphinidae. The record is from RefSeq and is a predicted model, not a curated record.